CUACGGGCGGCACCAGCAGGGAAUUUUGCACAAUGGGCGCAAGCCUGAUGCAGCGACGCCGCGUGGGGGAUGAAUGCCUUCGGGUUGUAAACCCCUUUCAGGAGGGACGAAGCGAAAGUGACGGUACCUCCAGAAGAAGCCCCGGCCAACUACGUGCCAGCAGCCGCGGUAAUACGUAGGGGGCGAGCGUUGUCCGGAUUUAUUGGGCGUAAAGAGCUCGUAGGCGGCUCAACAAGUCGGCCGUGAAAGCCUGAGGCUCAACCUCAGGACGCCGGUCGAAACUGUUGUGGCUAGGGUUCGGUAGAGGAGAGUGGAAUUCCCGGUGUAGCGGUGAAAUGCGCAGAUAUCGGGAGGAACACCAGUAGCGAAGGCGGCUCUCUGGGCCGACACCGACGCUGAGGAGCGAAAGCUAGGGGAGCAAACAGGAUUAGAUACCCGGGUAGUC
RNAcentral lists this ribosomal RNA (445 nucleotides) under uncultured bacterium. Its description in RNAcentral is "partial 16S ribosomal RNA". It matches the Rfam family "Bacterial small subunit ribosomal RNA", at positions 339 to 795 of the family's 1533-position model. The record is from RNAcentral.